GAUGAGUAGGGCGGGACACGUGGUAUCCUGUCUGAAUAUGGGGGGACCAUCCUCCAAGGCUAAAUACUCCUGACUGACCGAUAGUGAACCAGUACCGUGAGGGAAAGGCGAAAAGAACCCCGGCGAGGGGAGUGAAAAAGAACCUGAAACCGUGUACGUACAAGCAGUGGGAGCACCCUUUGGGUGUGACUGCGUACCUUUUGUAUAAUGGGUCAGCGACUUAUAUUCUGUAGCAAGGUUAACCGAAUAGGGGAGCCGGAGGGAAACCGAGUCUUAACCGGGCGUUAAGUUGCAGGGUAUAGACCCGAAACCCGGUGAUCUAGCCAUGGGCAGGUUGAAGGUUGGGUAACACUAACUGGAGGACCGAACCGACUAAUGUUGAAAAAUUAGCGGAUGACCUGUGGCUGGGGGUGAAAGGCCAAUCAAACCGGGAGAUAGCUGGUUCUCCCCGAAAGCUAUUUAGGUAGCGCCUCGUGAAUUCAUCUCCGGGGGUAGAGCACUGUUUCGGCUAGGGGGCCAUCCCGGCUUACCAACCCGAUGCAAACUGCGAAUACCGGAGAAUGUUAUCACGGGAGACACACGGCGGGUGCUAACGUCCGUCGUGAAGAGGGAAACAACCCAGACCGCCAGCUAAGGUCCCAAAGUCAUGGUUAAGUGGGAAACGAUGUGGGAAGGCCCAGACAGCCAGGAUGUUGGCUUAGAAGCAGCCAUCAUUUAAAGAAAGCGUAAUAGCUCACUGGUCGAGUCGGCCUGCGCGGAAGAUGUAACGGGGCUAAACCAUGCACCGAAGCUGCGGCAGCGAACGUAUCACUUAAAGCGAUUCAGCGGGUUACGAUUGACGGAGCGAAGCGACGUCAAAGCGUAUACAAAGUCGAGUCGGUUUAAGGAUACGUUCGUUGGGUAGGGGAGCGUUCUGUAAGCCUGUGAAGGUGGCCUGUGAGGGUUGCUGGAGGUAUCAGAAGUGCGAAUGCUGACAUAAGUAACGAUAAAGCGGGUGAAAAGCCCGCUCGCCGGAAGACCAAGGGUUCCUGUCCAACGUUAAUCGGGGCAGGGUGAGUCGACCCCUAAGGCGAGGCCGAAAGGCGUAGUCGAUGGGAAACG
This 1101-nucleotide ribosomal RNA is filed under the name Salmonella enterica subsp. enterica serovar Montevideo str. CFSAN004346. RNAcentral's name for it is "bacterial LSU rRNA". It matches the Rfam family "Bacterial large subunit ribosomal RNA", at positions 407 to 1427 of the family's 2925-position model. The record is from RNAcentral. Lineage: Bacteria; Pseudomonadati; Pseudomonadota; Gammaproteobacteria; Enterobacterales; Enterobacteriaceae.